CCGAGUAGCUGGGAUUACAGGCAUGUGCCACCAUGCCCAGCUAAUUUUUGCAUUUUUGGUAGAGAUGGGGUUUCACUAUGUUGCUCAGGGAGGUCUCGAAACUCCUGACCUCAGGUGAUCCGCCCACCUCGGCCUCCCAAAGUGUUGAGAUUACAGGCAUGAGCCACUGCGCCCGGCUUGAGACCUUGAGGGGCUUUUUAACCAAGAGAUGGUGUAGGGACAGAAGCCAGCAAGAAGAACAUGGUGGACUCUCUGUGAGGCCCCAAACCCCAAAUCAUGAGCCUCCGCCCCCUGAAAGUAUUCCAGGAUCUCUGAGGGAGGUUUUGGGAGGGGGCCAAGGUCCUGCAAUUGGGUGGGUGGGGCUCCAAGCCAUUGUUCUUUGCACAUUCAUGCCAAUGUGACCUAAUUGGCUAAGCACAGGCUGGAGAAGCUAGAUAAACCUAUUUAAAUUCAGAGCCAAAAGACACUCAAGGAUGUUUUCUGAGGGGGUGUGAGGGUUGGAAAAUCAUCCUAUAUUUGAUUUAUCUCCCACCUCAUGUCCUGAGUCAAUUCCUUAGUCUUAGAUGAGGGAGACGACUUGGGAGUCAUCCUUGUUUUUGAUGAGCUAUAUAACCCUAUGGCCAGCAGAGGGAAGUACUGCAUUUCAGAGCGACAAUUUGAGAUCUAUGAAAGAAUUUCAAUCGAGAAUAAGAGGCCGGGCGCGGUGGCUCACGCCUGUAAUCCCAGCUCUCAGGGAGGCUAAGAGGCGGGAGGAUAGCUUGAGCCCAGGAGUUCGAGACCUGCCUGGGCAAUAUAGCGAGACCCCGUUCUCCAGAAAAAGGAAAAAAAAAAACAAAAGACAAAAAAAAAAUAAGCGUAACUUCCCUCAAAGCAACAACCCCCCCCCCCCUUUUCAUAUUCUUGCCUGGAAGAAAGGCCUU
This 920-nucleotide long non-coding RNA is filed under the name Homo sapiens (human). Its description in RNAcentral is "HSALNT0302348". The record is from RNAcentral. Lineage: Eukaryota; Metazoa; Chordata; Mammalia; Primates; Hominidae.